This 565-nucleotide unclassified non-coding RNA is filed under the name Rhipicephalus microplus (southern cattle tick). Its description in RNAcentral is "uncharacterized LOC119181120, transcript variant X1". The record is from RNAcentral. Lineage: Eukaryota; Metazoa; Arthropoda; Arachnida; Ixodida; Ixodidae.
GCGCGCAAGUGCACGCCGCACGCCGGAGACCACAGAGUGCACUCCGCAAUAACUCGUUGUCAGCUGCAUUUUCGUCGGAAGCAAGUUGUCCUUGUUGCGAGAUGGUGUUGUUCGUACUGCGGGUAUUUAAUUUGCGUAACUCCAGCUUCAACAGACGUUCUUCAGGACUGCUGCCAUGACGGUAAUGGUGUGGGUGAUGCUUCUGCUCGCGCAGGCGGCUGUGGCCAUUGUGUGUCCACCACACGUCUGCGAAAGCACCAAGUGCCCGCGGCCGCCUGUGAAGACCUAUCAUGGACGGCUGAGCACUCAAGGGAGUUUCUGCGGGUGUUGCAAAGUUUGCAUACACGAAUCAGCGUUCGGAGAACCAUGCACGUAUUCGCCCCUUCUCGGUGUGCCCUCGGCGUCCCAGUGCGCGAGGGGUCUCAUCUGCGAUCCUCGUGCGAGCGUGUGCAUCCCAGCGCUGUGCUACAUCGCCCGUCACCUCGAUGGCCGUAACAUAAAGACCACUUCUCGCGGGUUGAGUGAAUAAACGCUCGUUUUCAGAAAUGCCCCACAACUACCAGAG